Molecule: long non-coding RNA, 1000 nt
Filed under: Selaginella moellendorffii
Lineage: Eukaryota; Viridiplantae; Streptophyta; Lycopodiopsida; Selaginellales; Selaginellaceae
Description: long non-coding RNA (SMOE_LNC002221)
Source: RNAcentral
GGUCUGCGACUCAGUUGCUACGGGGCUGUGCACAUAGAUGUCCAGUGCCCGAAACCCGAGUAAGUUGUUGGCAUUCUUUUAUCUUCCAUUCAGCUGAAAAGGUAAAUUUCUUUGUAUAGCAAGUGGAAAUCUCGGAAGCUACUUGGGAUGAAGUACCUUAUGUUUCUUGCCCAAAAGACCCGCGGUAAAAGGCCUAUUUCAACUUCUUCGUCGGAGGCUGGACGAACGUUGCUUUCCAUAUCUGAGCAGCCCGAGCAAGAACGCCUGGCUGAAAAGAAGGUAAUUUUCCAAAGUUUGAACUUAGUGAUGUGUUCUCAACCUUCCUCUGGCGUGAAGGAGACAGCAUUACCACCAACACAGGCUGUUUCAACACAAAAACAAGAGCCAAAUCAGCGCAAGGUAUACUAUCAAAGACAAAAGCUCAAUACUUACUUGUUUGUGUUGCAGCGGAAAGCCGUGAUAUCAAUAACGGUGCUUCUUAGUGCUACAGCAUUGGCAUUGUGCGGUGGAAUCUGCAUUCAAAAAAAGCUGCGUAAGAAACCAACACCGGUCAAGACGGAAUCUUCAGCAUCAAUCAAAGACAUUGUACCACAAGCCGGUCCCGCGAAGUUCUCGUUCAAGCAAGUCCGCAAGAUCACAAACAACUUCAGUGUCAAGCUAGGAGACGGUGGCUUUGGGCUGGUGUACGAAGGAACACUCAAGGACGGGAGCAAAGUAGCCGUCAAGAUGCUGGAAAGAACGUCAACACAAGGUGAGAAAGAAUUCAAGGCAGAGGUGAGUGUGAUGGCAACGGUUCGUCACCUGAAUCUCAUCCGACUGAGAGGAUACUGCGCGCAAGGGCCGCGGAGAAUACUCAUCUAUGACUUCAUGCCAAACAGCUCCCUUGACAAGUGGCUGUUCAUAACACCUGGUAAGUUUUCCUGGUCAUUACAAGAGAGAAAGAGAGCGAGCUUACCAUAAAAAACCAUUGAGCAGGAAAGGAUUGCAUGCUUGACUGGUC